GAUGAACGCUGGCGGCGUGCCUAAUACAUGCAAGUCGAGCGAACGGACGAGGAGCUUGUUCCUCUGACGUUAGCGGCGGACGGGUGAGUAACACGUGGAUAACCUACCUAUAAGACUGGGAUAACUUCGGGAAACCGGAGCUAAUACCGGAUAAUAUAUUGAACCGCAUGGUUCAAUAGUGAAAGACGGUUUUGCUGUCACUUAUAGAUGGAUCCGCGCCGCAUUAGCUAGUUGGUAAGGUAACGGCUUACCAAGGCAACGAUGCGUAGCCGACCUGAGAGGGUGAUCGGCCACACUGGAACUGAGACACGGUCCAGACUCCUACGGGAGGCAGCAGUAGGGAAUCUUCCGCAAUGGGCGAAAGCCUGACGGAGCAACGCCGCGUGAGUGAUGAAGGUCUUCGGAUCGUAAAACUCUGUUAUUAGGGAAGAACAAAUGUGUAAGUAACUAUGCACGUCUUGACGGUACCUAAUCAGAAAGCCACGGCUAACUACGUG
This 497-nucleotide ribosomal RNA is filed under the name uncultured bacterium. Its description in RNAcentral is "partial 16S ribosomal RNA". It matches the Rfam family "Bacterial small subunit ribosomal RNA", at positions 28 to 507 of the family's 1533-position model. The record is from RNAcentral.